RNAcentral lists this ribosomal RNA (173 nucleotides) under Streptococcus agalactiae. RNAcentral describes it as "partial 23S ribosomal RNA". It matches the Rfam family "Bacterial large subunit ribosomal RNA", at positions 2756 to 2925 of the family's 2925-position model. Lineage: Bacteria; Bacillati; Bacillota; Bacilli; Lactobacillales; Streptococcaceae. The record is from RNAcentral.
GGGAAGGGAUAAGCGCUGAAAGCAUCUAAGUGCGAAGCCCACCUCAAGAUGAGAUUUCCCAUGAUUUUAUAUCAGUAAGAGCCCUGAGAGAUGAUCAGGUAGAUAGGUUAGGAGUGUAAUUGUGGUGACACAUUUAGCGGACUAAUACUAAUAGCUCGAGGACUUAUCCAAAA